This 460-nucleotide ribosomal RNA is filed under the name uncultured bacterium. RNAcentral describes it as "partial 16S ribosomal RNA". It matches the Rfam family "Bacterial small subunit ribosomal RNA", at positions 338 to 795 of the family's 1533-position model. The record is from RNAcentral.
CCUACGGGGCGCAGCAGUGAGGAAUAUUGGUCAAUGGACGAGAGUCUGAACCAGCCAAGUAGCGUGAAGGAUGACUGCCCUAUGGGUUGUAAACUUCUUUUAUAUGGGAAUAACAUGUUCCACGUGUGGGAUUUUGUAUGUACCAUAUGAAUAAGGAUCGGCUAACUCCGUGCCAGCAGCCGCGGUAAUACGGAGGAUCCGAGCGUUAUCCGGAUUUAUUGGGUUUAAAGGGAGCGUAGGUGGAUUGUUAAGUCAGUUGUGAAAGUUUGCGGCUCAACCGUAAAAUUGCAGUUGAAACUGGCAGUCUUGAGUACAGUAGAGGUGGGCGGAAUUCGUGGUGUAGCGGUGAAAUGCUUAGAUAUCACGAAGAACUCCGAUUGCGAAGGCAGUUCACUGGACUGCAACUGACACUGAGGCUCGAAAGUGUGGGUAUCAAACAGGAUUAGAUACCCUUGUAGUC